RNAcentral lists this ribosomal RNA (318 nucleotides) under uncultured bacterium. Its description in RNAcentral is "bacterial SSU rRNA". It matches the Rfam family "Bacterial small subunit ribosomal RNA", at positions 1062 to 1381 of the family's 1533-position model. The record is from RNAcentral.
GUGUCGUGAGAUGUUGGGUUAAGUCCCGCAACGAGCGCAACCCUUGUCAUUAGUUGCUACAUUUGGUUGGGCACUCUAAUGAGACUGCCGGUGACAAACCGGAGGAAGGUGGGGAUGACGUCAAGUCCUCAUGGCCCUUAUGGGUAGGGCUUCACACGUAAUACAAUGGCGCGUACAGAGGGCAGCGAAGGGGCGACCUGGAGCCAAUCCCGACAAAGCGCGUCGUAGUCCGGAUUGCAGUCUGCAACUCGACUGCAUGAAGUCGGAAUCGCUAGUAAUCGCGGAUCAGCAUGUCGCGGUGAAUACGUUCCCGGGUCU